UACGGGGGGAGCAAGCGUUGUUCGGAUUUACUGGGCGUAAAGGGCGCGUAGGCGGCCAGCACAGGUCAGUUGUGAAAUCUCCGAGCUUAACUCGGAAAGGUCAACUGAUACUGUGCGGCUAGAGUGCGGAAGGGGCAACUGGAAUUCUUGGUGUAGCGGUGAAAUGCGUAGAUAUCAAGAGGAACACCUGCGGCGAAGGCGGGUUGCUGGGCCGACACUGACGCUGAGGCGCGAAAGCCAGGGGAGCGAACGGG
Molecule: ribosomal RNA, 254 nt
Filed under: uncultured bacterium
Lineage: Bacteria
Description: partial 16S ribosomal RNA
Rfam family: Bacterial small subunit ribosomal RNA
Source: RNAcentral